CCCGCUGAACUUAAGCAUAUCAAUAAGCGGAGGAAAAGAAACCAACAGGGAUUGCCUCAGUAACGGCGAGUGAAGCGGGAACAGCUCAAAUUUGAAAUCUGGCGCCUCUCUGCCGUCCGAGUUGUAGUUUAUAGAAGCGGCGUCCGCGCCGGAUCGUGCACUAGUCUCCUGGCAUGGAGCGGCGUAAAAGGCGAGAAUCCCGCCGUUGGCCUGCAUCCCUGGUGCUUCUGUGAUGCGCUCUCAGAGAGUCGAGAUGGCUGCUAAUGCUGCUCAGAAUGUGUGGUGAACUCCAUCUUAUGGUAAAUAUUGGCGAGAGACCGAUAGCGAACGAGCACCGUGUGGGAAAGAUGAUGAGCACUUUGGAAAGAGAGAGAAACAAUUCGUGAAAUUGUUGAACGGGAAACGCUAGAUGUCCGUCGCCUCUACUGAGACUCAUCCUUGCCUUGGCUCGGUGGACCUCUCGGCCCGACCGGUCACCAUCGAUUUUGCCCCUCCGAGAAUGGCAAGGGAAAGGUGGCACCUUUACGGGUGUGUUAUAGUCUCCUGUAACAUGCGAGGGGUGGGAUUGAGGAACUCAGCGCGCGCCUCGGUGUCGCGGCUUCGGCCCACGUUCACGUGCUUAGGAUGUUGGCGUAAUGGCUGUAAACGACCCGUCUUGAAACACGG
Molecule: ribosomal RNA, 666 nt
Filed under: uncultured fungus
Lineage: Eukaryota; Fungi
Description: eukaryotic LSU rRNA
Rfam family: Eukaryotic large subunit ribosomal RNA
Source: RNAcentral